GAUGAACGCUGACAGAAUGCUUAACACAUGCGAGUCAACUUGAAUUUGGGUUUUUAACUUAGGUUUGGGUGGCGGACGGGUGAGUAACGCGUAAAGAACUUGCCUCACAGCUAGGGACAACAUUUGGAAACGAAUGCUAAUACCUAAUAUUAUGAUAAUAGGGCAUCCUAUAAUUAUGAAAGCUAUAAGCGCUGUGAGAGAGCUUUGCGUCCCAUUAGCUAGUUGGAGAGGUAACGGCUCACCAAGGCGAUGAUGGGUAGCCGGCCUGAGAGGGUGAUCGGCCACAAGGGGACUGAGACACGGCCCUUACUCCUACGGGAGGCAGCAGUGGGGAAUAUUGGACAAUGGACCGAGAGUCUGAUCCAGCAAUUCUGUGUGCACGAUGAAGUUUUUCGGAAUGUAAAGUGCUUUCAGUUGGGAAGAAACAAAUGACGGUACCAACAGAAGAAGUGACGGCUAAAUACGUG
RNAcentral lists this ribosomal RNA (467 nucleotides) under uncultured bacterium. RNAcentral describes it as "partial 16S ribosomal RNA". It matches the Rfam family "Bacterial small subunit ribosomal RNA", at positions 28 to 507 of the family's 1533-position model. The record is from RNAcentral.